GACGAACGCUGGCGGCGUGCUUAACACAUGCAAGUCGAACGGAAAGGCCCUGCUUUUGUGGGGUGCUCGAGUGGCGAACGGGUGAGUAACACGUGAGUAACCUGCCCUUGACUUUGGGAUAACUUCAGGAAACUGGGGCUCAUACCGGAUAGGAGCUCCUGCUGCAUGGUGGGGGUUGGAAAGUUUCGGCGGUUGGGGAUGGACUCGCGGCUUAUCAGCUUGUUGGUGGGGUAGUGGCUUACCAAGGCUUUGACGGGUAGCCGGCCUGAGAGGGUGACCGGCCACAUUGGGACUGAGAUACGGCGCAGACGCCUACGGGAGGCAGCAGCGGGGAAUAUUGCACAAUGGGCGGAAGCCUGAUGCAGCAACGCCGCGUGCGGGAUGACGGCCUUCGGGGUGUAAACCGCUUUCGCCUGUGACGAAGCGUGAGUGACGGUAAUGGGUAAAGAAGCACCGGCUAACUACGUG
Molecule: ribosomal RNA, 468 nt
Filed under: uncultured bacterium
Lineage: Bacteria
Description: partial 16S ribosomal RNA
Rfam family: Bacterial small subunit ribosomal RNA
Source: RNAcentral